RNAcentral lists this long non-coding RNA (365 nucleotides) under Pan troglodytes (chimpanzee). Its description in RNAcentral is "long non-coding RNA NONPTRT014623". Lineage: Eukaryota; Metazoa; Chordata; Mammalia; Primates; Hominidae. The record is from RNAcentral.
UCAAACUGCUGUGGUUCCCGUCUCUGGAUGAAUAAUGUGGAAGUACAGAGAGAAGGAAUGAAUCCAUGAAGCACGGAGUGACUUGGAAUGUGGGGGAGUUCUGGAACUUGGCAACAGAAGGGCCGGGAGGAGGCUGCUAGCAAUGGCUACGGGGAUGAGAAGGGAUGGAGAAGGGGUCACACUUGAAGUUAAGCACUUGAACCUAAGCACCAGAACCCAGUUCCAGGAUUUCCUCCACCUACUGAGCAUCCUGCUGAUAUAUCAAGGGGAUAGGACAAUAAGAUUUACUCCUGGCUCCUAGACAACAUCAGCGUAUUUUCAUAGUGGUCCCAAGCUCCCCAGGGUGAUCAGAAGACCAGGCCUCC